AUGGAAAUGGUAAAAAGAGCUGUCAUUUCCCGUAGUUUCGGUGUCGAAUAACGAUUUAUGUCGCGAGUUAAUUGAUGUAAGACAAUUUCGCUGUAAAUUUCAACUUAAGACAAACAUUUAACGAUAAGUAUUGUGUGUGGGACAGUGCAAGAACAUUCGGCAACGAGCAAGAUAUCCUGCAGCUGCUUCUGGACAGAAGGGCGUAGUUUGCUACUUGAGAAGCAGAUUCCAAUUUCAAAUCUAAUCAAACUGAAAUGUGGAAAGGAUGGAACUUCUAUAGGUUGUAAUCAACCCCUAUCCAUCAAAGGCUUCAGUUUUUCCAAUUUUAAUUGGAAGAGUUCAACAUCCAAAAUGGUGAUCUUUUGGUUUUCCCUUCCAGACUCUGAUUGUAAGCCGUAGAAGAGUUCGUUGGAGUUCUGUUUGAACGGAGGGAAGCAACGGGAUGAUUUAAUUCGACGACAGCAACAGGGGACACCGUCAAAAGCUGCUACACUUGGACGUCAUCCCCCAACGGGUCGUGAUUUAUCGAGUGAUCCUGCUGAAAUAUAGGCUAACAACUCCACUAUAACAACAGGGAUUAUCUUAUAAGCAUGAAGUUAAUUUUUAUUCUACCCUGCGACGUCAUUUUUCUUGGACUGUGGACAUUGGCCUGCCGUUAACAUCUUCAUUUUGCAACAUUAUGCAAUUAAUCUUCGACGACUGAUUGAGAGAGCACCUUGAAGUUGAUUUGGAUCCCAAAUUGUCUGCAGUGGCAUCAUUCUUCCUGGAUUUGCAUUACUGUUUGCACUUGUUGACUUUGGCACAUUGUAAUUAAUUAAGAUCGCCGGUGGAGAAGAUAAAGAAGACCCCGUAGUUAAAAUACUUGUCUAUUUUGCAUGUUUUUUGUAGUUUAUUUUAUUUGAAUUAAUUUUUGAUUGUAGAUGUUGUUAUUGUUUUUAGUUGUAGUCGUUAUUACUGUACUAACACGUUUAGUUUUUUUUGGUAGUCAUAGUCUAACAUGUCUCUUGCUUACCUCUUCGCUUAGCUUACUGCAUAUUCUUCCUAAUUUGCU
Long non-coding RNA from Agrilus planipennis (emerald ash borer), 1051 nucleotides. RefSeq lists it as uncharacterized. NCBI's taxonomy places the organism in Eukaryota, Metazoa, Arthropoda, Insecta, Coleoptera, Buprestidae. The transcript is spliced from 7 exons. The record is from RefSeq and is a predicted model, not a curated record.